This 311-nucleotide ribosomal RNA is filed under the name uncultured Oscillibacter sp. RNAcentral describes it as "bacterial SSU rRNA". It matches the Rfam family "Bacterial small subunit ribosomal RNA", at positions 354 to 680 of the family's 1533-position model. Lineage: Bacteria; Bacillati; Bacillota; Clostridia; Eubacteriales; Oscillospiraceae. The record is from RNAcentral.
UGGGGGAAUAUUGGGCAAUGGACGCAAGUCUGACCCAGCAACGCCGCGUGAAGGAAGAAGGCUUUCGGGUUGUAAACUUCUUUUAAGGGGGAAGAGCAGAAGACGGUACCCCUUGAAUAAGCCACGGCUAACUACGUGCCAGCAGCCGCGGUAAUACGGAGGGUGCAAGCGUUAAUCGGAAUAACUGGGCGUAAAGGGCAUGCAGGCGGUUCAUCAAGUAGGAUGUGAAAUCCCCGGGCUCAACCUGGGAACAGCAUACUAAACUGGUGGACUAGAGUAUUGCAGGGGGAGACGGAAUUCCAGGUGUAGCG